This 477-nucleotide ribosomal RNA is filed under the name uncultured bacterium. Its description in RNAcentral is "partial 16S ribosomal RNA". It matches the Rfam family "Bacterial small subunit ribosomal RNA", at positions 28 to 507 of the family's 1533-position model. The record is from RNAcentral.
GAUUAGCGCUGGCGGCGUGCAUAACACAUGCAAGUCGAACGAUGAAACUUUAAUGAACCCUUCGGGGAGAAUUAAAGCGGAUUAGUGGCGAACGGGUGAGUAACGCGUGAGUAACCUGCCUUACACAAGGGGAUAGCCUUUGGAAACGAAGAAUAAUACCCUAUAAAACCAUAAAAGCACAUGCAAUUAUGGUCAAAGUGAUAGCGGUGUAAGAUGGACUUGCGUCUGAUUAGCUAGUUGGUGAGAUAAAAGCCCACCAAGGCAACGAUCAGUAGCCGGCUUGAGAGAGUGUACGGCCACAUUGGGAAUGAGACACGGCCCAGACUCCUACGGGAGGCAGCAGUGGGGAAUUUUGCACAAUGGGGGAAACCCUGAUGCAGCGACGCCGCGUGAUUUAGAAGGCCUUCGGGUUGUAAAAAUCUUUUGUAUAGGAAGAAAAUGACAGUACUAUACGAAUAAGGUCCGGCUAAUUACGUG